AGCUCCAAUAGCGUAUAUUAAAGUUGCUGCAGUUAAAAAGCUCGUAGUUGGAUUUCUGGCUUGAAACAUUUUGCCGGCCACGGUUUCGUGUGUUAGUGCUUGAUGUUCUGGCCAUCCUUCCAUUGCUAUCACUUUUCUUCAUUGAUUGGUGAGUGGUAUUGGAUCUUUUACUUUGAAAAAAUUAGAGUGUUUCAAGCAGGCUUAUGCUAUGAAUACAUUAGCAUGGAAUAAUAAUUUAGGACUUCGGUUCUAUUUUGUUGGUUUCUAGGACUGAAGUAAUGAUUGAUAGGGAUAGUUGGGGGUGCUAGUAUUCAGCGGCCAGAGGUGAAAUUCUCGGAUUCGCUGAAGACUAACUUAUGCGAAAGCAUUCACCAAGGAUGUCUUCU
Molecule: ribosomal RNA, 386 nt
Filed under: uncultured Cercozoa
Lineage: Eukaryota; Cercozoa
Description: SSU rRNA
Rfam family: Eukaryotic small subunit ribosomal RNA
Source: RNAcentral